This 352-nucleotide ribosomal RNA is filed under the name uncultured bacterium. RNAcentral's name for it is "bacterial SSU rRNA". It matches the Rfam family "Bacterial small subunit ribosomal RNA", at positions 72 to 422 of the family's 1533-position model. The record is from RNAcentral.
AAGUGGAGCAAUCCAUGAGUAAAGUGGCGACCGGGUGAGUAACACGUGACUAACCUACCUUUGAGUGGGGGAUAACAUCGGGAAACCGAUGCUAAUACCGCAUCACAUCGGCGUUUCUUAAGAAGUGCCGAUCGAAGCAGCAAUGCGCUUAAAGAGGGGGUCGCGGCUGAUUAGCUAGUUGGCGGGGUAACGGCCCACCAAGGCGAAGAUCGGUAUCCGGCCUGAGAGGGCGCACGGACACACUGGAACUGAAACACGGUCCAGACUCCUACGAGAGGCAGCAGUGGGGAAUUUUGCGCAAUGGGGGAAACCCUGACGCAGCAACGCCGCGUGGAGGAUGAAGUCCCUUGGG